This 555-nucleotide long non-coding RNA is filed under the name Pelobates cultripes (western spadefoot toad). The record is from RNAcentral. Lineage: Eukaryota; Metazoa; Chordata; Amphibia; Anura; Pelobatidae.
GUGUGAGGUAGUGUGCAGUGUGUGGCAGCAUGGUGUGAGAUAGCGUGCAGUGUGUGACAGCAUGGUGUGAGGUAGUGUGCAGUGUGAGGUAGUGUGCAGUGUGUGACAGCAUGGUGUGAGGUAGUGUGCAGUGUGUGACAGAAUGGUGUGAGGUAGUGUGCAGUGUGAGGUAGUGUGCACUGUGUGACAGAAUGGUGUGAGGUAGUGUGCACUGUGUGACAGAAUGGUGUGAGGUAGUGUGCAGUGUGAGGUAGUGUCCAAUGUGUGACAGCAUGGUGUGAGGUAGCAUGCAGUGUGUGGCAGCAUGGUGUGAGAUAGCGUGCAGUGUGUGACAGCAUGGUGUGAGGUAGUGUGCAGUGUGAGGUAGUGUGCACUGUGUGACAGAAUGGUGUGAGGUAGCGUGCAGUGUGUGGCAGCAUGGUGUGAGAUAGCGUGCAGUGUGUGACAGCAUGGUGUGAGGUAGUGUGCAGUGUGAGGUAGUGUGCACUGUGUGACAGCAUGGUGUGAGGUAGUGUGCAGUGUGUGACAGAAUGGUGUGAGGUAGUGUGCAGUGUG